CUACAGCCUCAGAUCAGACGUGGCGACCCGCUGAAUUUAAGCAUAUUACUAAGCGGAGGAAAAGAAACUAACCAGCAUUCCCUGAGUAAAGGCGAGUGAAGAGGUAAUAGCCUAGUGCUGAAUCCCCGUUCAGCGGCAGGUGUGGGAAAUGUGGCGUACAGAAGACUGACUCCCUGGUGUCGCUCAGCGGGCUCAAGUCCUUCUGAUCAAGUCUCACCCAGCGGACAGUGUUAGGCCGGUAGCGGCCUACGGCACGCUGGGAUCGGGUCUUCUCUCAGUUUGGUUGCUUGAGAAUGCAGCCCAAAGUGGGUGGUAAACUCCAUCUAAGGCUAAAUAUGUGCACAAGACCGAUGGCCAACAAGUACAGUAAGGUAAAGUUGAAAAGAACUUUGAAUAGAGAAUUAGGCGUGAAACUGCAGGAUUCAACACGGCGGACAGGUUGUUCGCCUGGAACGGCGGAUGCCCUUGCAGGACUGCCACCUGAGCAUACCCGGCCUUUGCAGGGUGCAUUUCGUCUGUGGCAGUGCACCGCAACCAGCUCCAAGUCGGCUGGGAAGGCCGCAGAUGGCUCUCUGCUCUGGCAGAGAGUGUUACAGCCCCCUGACAACCAUUUUGCUGUGUCUGCUGGGCCGAAGGAGAUUGACCGCUACCGUGCCCAUCCCGCCACCUCUUGGGGGUCGCCAGGGCGGCAACGGGAGACGGGGCUCCCGAUGCGACUGUCGACUGUGGUGAUCUGUCCUCAGUGCACCCCAAACACGUUGCGCCGCUGGACGGGGAUGCCCACGAAGGGUCCCAGGGGUCUAAGGUGAUGUCGGUUACCCACCCAACCCGUCUUGAAAUACGGACCAAAGAGACUAACACGUGCGUGAGUCGGAGGGCCGAACAAAACCCUGUGCUGCAAUGAAGGUGAGGGCCGGUGCAUGCCGGCUGUGGUAAUAUCCCGUCGUUGGGGGCACCACCAGCCCGUCUCGCCCACUCUGUCAUGGAGGUGGAGCAUGAGUGUGUGUGAUAGGACCCGAAAGGUGGUGAACUAGGCCUGGGCAGGGCAAAGCCAGAGGAAACUCUGGUGGAUAUCCAUAUUGGUCCUUAAAUACAUUUAUUAUCUUAUUUAUUUAUUUGACUGUUUCCUAUAUGCUGCACUGCUCCCUCCCCUUUCCUCCUGCACUUUUCCCCUUCCCCCUCCACUGCACUUGGCGUGAUCUCAAUGUCACCUGGCCUAGUAGGAUCGCUGUCUUUGUCUUCCCUCUCUUCCCCUCUCUUGCCUCGUCGCACCUUAAAACACUUGUGUAUAGGUGCGUUAUGAAUGCCAUAUCAUAUCCUGACGGGAAAAUCGGUCAUCCGACCUGGCUAUAGGGGCGCAAGACUAAUCGAACCAUCUAGUAGCUGGUUCCCUCUGAAGUUUCCCUCAGGAUUGCUGGCGCACGGAACCCCAGUUUUAACUGGUAAAGCGCAUGAUUAGAGGUCUUGGGACCGAAAUGAUCUUAACCUAUUCUCAAACUUUAAAUGGGUAAGAAGCCCAGCUCACUGGCGUGGUGCUGGGCAUCGAUUUCAAUGCCCAAUUGCCACCUCUGGUUAGCAGAACUGGUGCUGUGGGAUGAACCGAACACUGUGUUAAGGCGCCAGAUGCAGGCGCUUCAUCGGACCCCAGAAAAGGUGUUGGUUGAUACAGACAACAGGACGGUGGCCAUGGAAGUGGGAAUCCGCUAAGGAGUGUGUAACAACCAAACCAACCUACCGAAGCAACUAGCCCUGAAAAUGGAUGGCGCUGGAGGGUUUGGCCCAUACCCGGCCGGCGCUGAUAGCUGCGGGGGCCUAAGCCGUGGCGAGUAGGAUGGGUGCGCACAGAAGCCCGGGUCGAGGGCCCGGUUGGAGCCGCUGCAGGUUCAGAUCUUGGUGGUAGUGGCAAAUAUUCAAACAAGCACUUUGAAGGCGGAAGUGGAGAUGGGUUCUAUGUGAACAGCAGUUGGAACAAGGGUCAGUCGGUCCUAAGAAAUGGUUGAGCGCCGUUUGGAAGGGACGGGCGAUGGCCUAUGUUGCCCUCAGCUGAUCGAAAGGGAGUGGGGUUCAGAUCCCCAGACCCAGAGUGGCGGAGACAGACCCCCUCGCGGAGUCCAGUGCGGUAACGCAACAAUCCCAGAGAAGCUGGCGGGAUUGCCAGGGAGAGUUCUGUUUUCUUUGUGAUGGGGAGGGCACCCUGGAAUGGGUUCACCCCCUAGAGAGGGCCCGAGCCUUGCAAAGCAAUGUGAUUCCGGUGGCAUCUGGUGAGCUCUCGCUGGUCCUUGAAAAUCCGUGGGAGAUGGUGUAAAUCUUGCACUGGGCCGUACCCAUAUUUGCAGCAGUUCUCCAAGGUGAACAGCCUCUAGCAUGUUGGAACAAUGUAGGUAAGGGAAGUUAGCAAGUUAGAUCCGUAACUUUGGGAAGGGCUGGGUCAGUUGGGAUGGGGUGCAAAGCGGGGCUGGCUGCGUGCCGCGACUGGACGAGGCGUCUUCACCCAUUAGCCCCCGGGGGCGGCGCUGACUCUGGAUGUGAGCCAGGCCCUUCCUGUGGAUUGCCCCAGCUGCAGUGGUCGCCUCUCUCCGUUCCCAUCCUGGGUUUCUGGGGCGGCAUUCUGCCUCGGCCGACGCCGAGCAGCUGACUUAGAACUGGUGCAGACCAGGGGAAUCAGACUGUUAAAUUAAAACAAAGCAUUGCAUAAGGCCUAUGGUGGGUGUUGACGCAUUGUGAUUACUGCCCAGUACUCUGAAUGUCAAAGUGAACAAAUCCAACGAAGCUCGGGUAAAUGGUCAGAGUAACUAUGACUCUCUUAAGGUAGCCAAAAUGCCUCAUAGUCUAAUUGGUGACGUACAUGAAUGGAUGAAUCCAAUUCCCACUAUCCCUACCUACUAUCUAGCGAAACCACAGCCAAGGGAACAGGCUUGGCAGAAUCAGUGAGGACAGAAGACCCAGUUGAGAUUCACUCUAGUCUGGCAUUGUGAAGAGGCAUGAGAGGUGCAGGAUAAGUGGGAGACCUUCGGGCCGCCGGAGAAAUACCACUACUCUUAUCGUUUUUUCACUUACCUGGUGAGGCGGGGGGGCGAGCCCCAUGGGACUCUCGCUUCUGGCUCCAAUUGCCCGGCUGGUGCAACCCGCUACAGGGACAGUGUCAGGUGGGGAGUUUGGCUAGGGCGGUACAUCUGACAAACCAUAACGGCGGUGUCCUAAGGCGAGAUCAGAAACCACCCACGGAGCAGAAGGGCAAAUGCUUGUUUGAUCUCAAUUUUCAGUAUGAAUACAGGCCGUGAAAGCGGGGCCUCAGGAUCCUUCUGAAUUUUUGGGUUUCAAGCACAAGGUUUCAGAAGAGUUACGACAGGGAUAACUGGCUUGUAGCAGCCAAGUGUUCAUAGCAACGUCGCUUUUUGAUCCUUCGAUGUGAAGCACAAUUCACCAAGCGUUGGAUUGUUCACCCACUAAUAGGGAACAUGAGCUGGGUUUAAACCGUCCUGAGACAGGUUGAUUUUACCCUACUGAUGAUGUGUUGUUGCAGCAGUAAUACUGCUCAGUAUGAGCAGAACCACAGGUUCAGACAGUUGGUGUAUGUACUUGGCUGAGAAGCCAAUGGGGCAAAGCUACCAUCUGUGGGAUUAUGACUGAACGCUUCUAAGUCAGAAUCCCCCUAACCGUAACAGUACCGCAGUGCUGUGGAGCCUCGAUUGGCCUAGGAUACCCGGCCUCCGGGCUGGUACAUAGAGCCGCUCGCCUCGGCACUCCGAGUGUGAACAGAAGGGGGCCACCUCUUUCGCCUGUAGUGCACCGCAU
RNAcentral lists this ribosomal RNA (3795 nucleotides) under Ambystoma mexicanum (axolotl). RNAcentral describes it as "eukaryotic LSU rRNA". It matches the Rfam family "Eukaryotic large subunit ribosomal RNA". The record is from RNAcentral. Lineage: Eukaryota; Metazoa; Chordata; Amphibia; Caudata; Ambystomatidae.